Molecule: long non-coding RNA, 7428 nt
Filed under: Gallus gallus (chicken)
Lineage: Eukaryota; Metazoa; Chordata; Aves; Galliformes; Phasianidae
Source: RNAcentral
GGGAGCUCCUGCAAGAUUUUAUUCAACGGUACACAAUAGGGCAAAAUUAAGAUUAAAGCAGAACGUAUACAUUACUGAUUUGUCAAGUUGCUAAGACAAAUCCAUACUGACACAAACAACGGAGGCUGACAACAUACGAAGCACGGUGGCCAUCUCUAGUGUCCGUACUUUUGGAACUCCCAUUCCCUGUUGUCCAGUGGGCAUACUUGGCGAGUUUUGAGCCAGCGAGAGAUGCAGUGGAAGUGGAAAGCGUGAUUGCAGACACCCCAUGCAACCGUGCACUCUUCAGAUGUAGCCGAUGCUUGGUUUGCUUGACAUUCUAUGCAUAGAUCCAUAAUAUGGUUUCUGCAAAUGGCACAGUUAUCAACCACAAUGUCCCAUGCCCACAGAGCUACUGCGUUCCAUUUCUUCACUUCGAAGCGCUUCUUGCCGGCGCCGCUGUUGGUGCCGCUGGGGGUGUCCACAUCCAUCGCGGCCGCCAUUUUGGAUGCGUGAAUAGGCCGUUCUGCGCUGUGCGCAUGCGCGGCGGAAAGGGGCGCAGGGAGGAGUGAGCGGAAGGCGUAGGCGGAGCUUCCGCCAGGCCGCGCCCCUUCCCCACCCUUUCCGUCACCAACAGGUGCGGCGACGGCGGCAGCGCGGCGCCCGGGGAAGGCCGGGAGCGCGGUCACGUGGGUGGGCGUUUAAAGGCGCCGCGCAGGGCGGGGCCCGUUCUGGGUGUUCCCUUAAGCGAAGGGAUACGGAGACCGUCGGAUAGAUCGAUGCAGGCGGGGCGGCGGGCCGCAGUGCUGUUUAGAGCACAAUUUGAAAGAUUUGUUUACACAAAAGCAUGAAUUUUAACCUUAAAUCUAUCUGGUGAUGCCACCCUAAGCUCAGCAGUCAUUCUGGACGUUAACAAAAUGUGCAGUGGUGCAUACGUGCGUCAGAGAAACGCUACCAUCCAUUUGGCUUUCAGUGAUCGCAAUAUAAGGUUACAGCCAUCCCACCUCGGCUGGUGUUACCGUGGGGAGGUGGCUGCCAGCGGGUGACAGCCACACAGCAGCAAUCAUACGGCCUGGAGUCGUUAUCCGGUGUAAAACCAGCCCUUAUUGUCCGGCAGCGAAAAGAAUAGAGCAGUGCAGGCCUUAAGGGAAGAGGUUGCCUUGCUCUUCAGUCCUUGCUCCCUUCCCAGCCACUCAGAUGGGCUGAGCUGUGUAUGCUUUGUUACCGUGCCAGUCUCAGUGCUACCCUAGUGCUGUGGGAUCUCUCUGGGGCACUCGGGAUGCACUCAGGAAUGAAAAUGUUCUGAAAGAAAGCAGGAAUUCACAUGCUUUGAAACACUCUUUAGAGCAAUACUUCAUUGUACGGGAGGUUGUAGGAGGUUGUAGCGAGGUUGGCCUAUUCUUGCAGGUAACAGCAGUAGGACAGGAGGUGAUGGCCUCAAGUUGUGCCAGGGGAGGUUCAGGUUGGAUGUUAGGAAAGAUUUCUUCUCCGAAAGAGCGGUGCUGCAGUGGCACAGGCUGCACAGGGAGGUGGUGCAGUCACCAUCCCUGGAUGUGUUCCAGAGCCGUGUGGAUGUGGCACUGAGGACGUGGUCAGUGGGCAUGGUGGGGAUAGGCUGGCAGUUGGACUGGGUGAUCUUAGCGGUCCUUUGCCAAUGUUAAUGAUUCUGUGACUGUAUGAUUCCACAGUCAUAGUAACAGACUGGUCUCCAAGGUCCUCAUGUCUGCUAGGAGCAAAGUGCAGGAAGGAAGGAGAUAGCCCUUCGCUAAGUGCUUACAAACCUCAGGUUUACAUCUAUGAAUGACUUUUGCCACUGCCUUCCUGUGUGUCACCUUCUCAGUGCUGCAGGUGUGAUUCUGAUGAUGCUCUAAGCAGCAUGUGACAGAAAUUACCUGGUAUAUGAGUCUGGUUUCUGUACUUUGUUUGCAAACCGAGGGGUAAGAAUGAAGUGCAUUUUAUUACUCUUCAAUAGAAGAGUAACGUUGGGCUGGCUGGCUGCCCUCCAGUUGCUGAUGCCACUAAAUGUAAUUGAUUUUACUAAGUUGGGAUUUCUAGCAGCCUUUGCUGCUGUGAGUGUCCAGACAGACAGCAGUCACAAAUGGUACUUAAUUUGUUGUCUUUCCACAUUGCCACAAAACUUCUCAGAGUUCAUGAAGUAAGCAGACAACUUCUCUCCAAGACUCUGCAUCAUCCCCACCUGAUCCAGAGUGCUCAAAGUAAACUUGAAUUCAAAGAACAGAGCCAGAGGGGUAGAUUAAGCAAUAUAUCCCAUAGAUUUUUGGACCAGAUGAUGGUUGGUUUCUGCAUGAACCCAAUCCCUCUGCCUCUGUGUGUGUUUUCUAGAUGAUGGUCACAUUAUACUCCCAUGUAGUACUAUUGUUUUUUCAAUCUGUUACUAAAACCUCAGGUGAGAAAUGAAGGCUCCUGCUCCCCAUAAUCUGACUGAGAUGAACAGAUGAGAUUCAGAGAGAGGAAAGAGUUGCAGCAUUUCCUGGGAUGUUGACUAAUUGCUGCUCUUUCUUUCUCAUGGUAUUGCACCUCAAGCUGAUUGAUAACUUGAAGAUAAAAUAACAACCAACCGUCAUGACUCAAAACCAACCUGCAGGUUACCAGGUGCUUGCAAAAACCAUGGUACUUAAUGACUGUGCCCGACCUACUGCAAACAGCCUUUCCUCAUGCAUGAAAAAGAGCAACGGGAAGCGUGGUUCUAGGCUCAGCAAAUACCUUUGUCUCUGCAGCAGGCAUCUCAGCCCCUCAUCACGCCCAGCUAUCAGCUGCUACAGGAAGAUAUGACUGGGACAGAAGAAUCUCAGUGCAUGACAGUGAGGAUGUUGGGCUGAUUAAAAAAAUGGGGAUGGGGAGCCCCUUGGUGCUCCAAGGAAAAGACAUGGGAAGGAGGGAGAGCUUGAGGGCUUUAACCUGCGCUAAGAGCCUGGAGAGAUGGCAGAGACACCGGCUGCAUUUGUCAUCUGGGGAGAGGAUGAGUCCUUCAGUGGGAGAAGUGAUUGUUUUUAACCUGAAUGCAGACAGCUGGCCAGAAGACACGUGCAGGAUGACUGGAGGCGGUGGGACAGAGUCAGUGCAGGAGACAGCACCGUCAACCAGAGCAGCAGUAGCUUUUUCUCAGGUGAAAAGUGAAAGGAUGUGAGGAAAUGGCCUCACAUUGCAUCAGUGAAGGCUUAGAUUAGAUGUCAGGAGGAAUUUCUUCAUGGAAAGUGUGGUUACACAUUGGUACUGGCUACCCAGGGAAGUAGUGGAGUUUUCAUCCCUGGAGGUAUUUAAGAGAUAUUGGGAUGUGGUGCUUAGGGACAUGGUUUAGUGGUGGACGCAGUAGUGUUAGGUGGUGGUUGGACUUGGUGAUCUUACAUGUCUUUUCCAACUGAAGUGAUCCUGUGAUGUGAGCACCAGGUCACAGUCUGGACAUCCCAUGUUGCUUAGGCUGAGUUUUCAAAGUGCCUUUUAUCCUUCUAAGGAGGAUUAAAAGAAGAACAAACAACAGUGAAUGUUAUGAUAGCUCAAUACAAGUAGUUAUAUGCAUCUACUGCUACACGUAAGCAACAAUGGAAAAUGUGGCAGGCUAAUUAACAGCAAUCAGGUAAAACCACGAGGAGUAAGCAAAGCAGUAACACAGGUUUGUCUGCAUAUAAAUCAAUGAACUCCUACUGAAUAGGGAAAUCCAUGAACACUCAGUAACAUGAGGCAGUUCCAGACUGGUGUGUGGGAGACACUAAAAUACUGUUUACAGAUAUUCUUAUCUACGGCUCCUCCCUGAUAGUCUUGAAUGUGGCACAGCCUCAGGAGAGGGAAUAAGUACUAAAAUCAGAAAAAAAUACUAUCAAUGAGGGAGGUCUGGAAGCUACCUCUGCUGAGUCAUGGUGGAUUGGUGCUGUUGAAAGGAGGUGAGAAGCACUGUGUUACAACUUUGCUUUUGCUUUCCCCCAUUAAUUCUUUGUCCUCCCCCACCAAAAUAAGAGUAAACCAAAAUUCCUCUAAAGAUUACUACUGACUGAAUCACGUUCCUGUUCAGCAUGACAGAAUUCCAAAGCCUCUACCACCCUUUGUCACAAUGGAAGAGAUGCUGCAAUGGGCAAAAGCAUUUUGUCAAAGCCCUUUGCCAGCAAAGUGGUAAUCAUAGCACAGGCACUAUCUGGCAUUUGAAAACAGUAGAAGUCCAAAUCCAAGAUUUUAUCUAUCUAUCUAUCUAUCUAUUUAUUUUGCUGGGGGGAGGAGAGGGUGGAGAUGGAGUUCAGAUGCAAUUAUACCACUUCAUCUUGACAACUGUAAAAGAAAUUGGGAAAACAAAGUAGCUAGCUGACAGACACAACUGUGAUUGGUACAAAAACUGGAUGGAUAUUACAAGAGAAGCCCAGAGAGAAGGAGCCAGCAGUCUCCUGCCUCCCGUACCAGCAUAAGCAAGAUCAAAAAAUUGUGGUACCUAGCUCAGAUAGUUUUCAGAAAGCAGAGUUUCAAAUAUUUCUGAUGCCCGUUUGCUCUUCCUCAUGAUUGCCUAGAUAAAGAGAAUACGCUGAAUUCACCCAUAUUUUGGACUCCACUGUAGAGUUCAUUAUGGUAGUUAGGGCAGUGAAUCUCACAAGAGAGGUGUUCUGCCUGACAGUCCUAUUUUUAACAAUAAAAUAAAUUAAUACAUUAGCAUAUUCCUUUGCUGAAUGGGUUCCUAUACCUUCAACACAUCUGCAUCAAACAUCCUUUCCUUUUAUCUCCAACUCAGCUCAGUUGGAAAUCCCAAUGGGAAGAUGGUUGAAAGGAGGUUGUAGUAACAUGGGGGUCAGCCUUUCCUCCUAGGUAACAGCAAUAGGGAAUGGCUCAAGUUGCAGCAGGCGAGGUUUGGAUUGGAUAUUAAGAAAAAUUUCUUCACAGGAUGAGUGGUGCUGCAGUGGCACAGGCUGCCCAGGGAGGUGGUGGAGUCACCGUCCCUGGACGUGUUCCAGAGCCGUGUGGAUGUGGCACUGAGGGCAUGGCCAGUGGGCACGGUGGGGAUGGGCUGAUGGUUGGACUCGAUGAUCUUAAAUGUUUUUCCUAUGUUAAUGGUUUUAUGAUUCUACAAGGCAGUAAGUAUUCACCAAUCAGAAGGCAGGAGCUCUCCAGUCCUGGUAGCUUCAGAAAAAUAGGAGUGAGCAGAGAAACAGCUCUUGGUAACUUGCCAUUGCAAAGUGAUGACAUCCCUCCUUCCACUCCCCCUCCCCACCCCUGGGUAUUUUUUUUUUUCCUCCCUCUGCUCAACACAAUCAUGAAUAUUAUUUCUCACCUUAUCUUCAAAAUCACCAAUUCUUAUCUGUGCUAAGAGGAAGGGGAUAAAAGCCAUAUUCAGCCUCAGGAAUACUCUCCCACCCGUCUGCUGUUUCAGUAUGAGUUGAAAAAGGAAGGAUGGGACAGAAUGCAAGAGCUUCAGGGAGGUUUUACCAAGACACACAGGAAAUUCUGUACAGGGUCUGCAGUCAUUCAAGAUAACUGGUUGUACAAGUCUGAAUGGGAAUAUUGCAAGUAAUUCUGAGGAAUCAGGAAAGAUGGGAAAAGAAAGAGGCCAGAGGCCUGGCAAUACCACACGAAUGCAAACCGUCAGCUGCACCAAACCCUUUUCACUCCUGGAGUCAAAAACAAUGCCCCAUUCUCUUACCUUCCUUUGGUCACAAAGUGGGACAAAGUACCUGCAUUUACCUACGUUUUUCAUGCUGGGGUUGGACUAGCAAAGACAGCUUCUUCAGAAGCCCAUCCAUCAGCUGCCUUCGGUUAGAAAGGAGCCUGAAGCUGAGAAAGAUUCCUUCUAACUGGUGAGGCCAUACCUUGAGUACUGUGUUCAGUUUUGGGCCCCUCACUGUAAGAAAGACAUCGAGGCCCUGGAGUGUGUCCAGAGGAGGGCAACAAAGCUGGUGAGAGGUCUGGAGCACAGACCUUAUGAGGGGUGGCUGAAGGAGCUGGGAUUGUUCAGUCUAGAGAAGAAGAGGCUCAGGGGAGACCUUAUUGCUCUCUAUAACUACCUGAAGGGAGGUUGUAGUGAGCUGGGGGUCAGCCUCUUCUCUCGUGUGACUAGUGAUAGGAUGAGAGGGAAUGGCUUCAAGCUGCACCAGGGAAGGUUCAGACUGGACAUUAGGAAAUACUACUUCUCUGAAAGGGCGGUCAGGCACUGGAAUGGGCUGCCCAGAGGGAUGGUGGAGUCACCGAGCCUGGUGGUGUUCAAAGAGCGUUUGGAUGUUGUGUUGAGGGACAUGGUUUAGCAAGAACCAUUGGUGAUGGGUAAAUGUUUGGACUGGAUGAUCCUGUAGGUCUUUUCCAACCUUAGCGAUUCUAUGAUUCUAUGAUUCUAACCCUUCUUUCAUACAGCAAAACUGUUGAUUAAAACCGUGUGGAGGGUAUAAGGAAGACUGUUCAGUUUCUCUUUCUUGUCCCAGGGGAACAAGAUGACAGGGAAAUGGAGAAGAUGACAAUCUAUCUGAAUAAGAGUGGAGUGGGGAGGCGGAGGAACCAAUAGCCCCCAGAAUCUCACUAAUGAAACGCUCACUCCCACAUUGGCUGAUUUAAGAGUUCCUUAUGCUAAACUGCUUCACCCUCAGUUUGCCUUGCUAUUUCUUUCUAUUUUCUCCUCUCACCAUUGCUGUCUCUUUAUUGUAUGUUUGUAUUUUACUGCAUUUUUAAAUGUUAUAAUCAAAACCCAGGUUGCAGGUUUGUUGGCAUACAGAAGUUAUCAGGUAAUCUGUCCCUUCUACAAACACAUUUCACUCCAUCUUGUGUGCGUUAAGAAUCAAAUGGGAGUGUGGUUCAUUUUGAAUCUCCCCUUCCUUUGCCUCAAGACCAGAAUGUAUGAAAUUGCCCUGCUGACUUAUGGGUCAUAAAAAGGCUUCUCUGCAGUCCUGCAAAGCUCUGUGGUGUUGUUCUAGGAGAGAGGAGUAAUGCGCUCUCUGCAAACACCAGGGCUGCUGUGAUGGCAAGCUAAAGGCUGGAUAUCCUGGUGUCCCAGUCCCCAGAAGGCGUGACGUGUUUGUGCUGCUAGAGGAUUUCCCUUAAACAUGCUUCAAUUCUUUUUAGACUGGGGAUGUAGAGGCAGCCCCCUCCUGCUGGAAUCUGGUGAGUGUGAUGCCACCAAUCUUGUUCACUGCCAUUAGAGCUGCCAAAAAGUGGGGAAAAAAACAACAGGUGGUCAUUUGACAGUAAAGAGAAGAUUGGCAUGCAGCCUCAUUGAGGCCUUCCUGUACCUAAAAGGAGCUUAUAAUCAGGAAGGAGAGCAACUUUUUACGUGGGCAGAUAGUGGUAGGACAAGGGGGAACGGAUUUAAACUUGAAGAGGAGAAAUUAAGGUUAAAUGUUAGAGGGAAAAUCUUUACUCAGAAGGCAGUGAGGUGCUGGCACAGCUGCCCAGAGAGCUGUGGUGCCCCAUCCCUGGAGGUUCAAGGCCAGGUUGGAUGGGGCCCUGGGCAGCCUGAGCUGGUGGGUGACA